GGUUACAAUCUGACUGCCACAUCAGUCACCCUAUUGAUUGUCAGGUUGAUUUGACCGAUAUGGCUGGCUAGGCAAGUGUGUCCUUCCUCCUUCACUGGUCCAGGUGUAUCCUUCUAGAAGCCACAGUAUGUUGAAGAGGAUGACCUUCCCUCAACAGGGGAGGAUUGGUCUUUGGUUAAGGGUAUAUGAGUAGUUGUGCUCCCCUACUAGAAUCUCCAAACAACUUCUUAAGGUCCACACACACCUUUUCUUAAAAAAUUUAAAGCAUUAAGUAUAUAUUUCUAACCUACAUCCUUGAAAUCUUAUGAUUUAUCAG
Mesocricetus auratus (golden hamster) is the source of this 316-nucleotide unclassified non-coding RNA. Its record names the gene 7SK. It matches the Rfam family "7SK RNA". Rfam says of the family: 7SK was discovered as an abundant small nuclear RNA in the mid-70s but a possible function has only recently been suggested. Two independent studies have found that 7SK RNA binds the CDK9/cyclin T complex (known as elongation factor P-TEFb). P-TEFb activates transcription by phosphorylating the C-terminal domain of RNA polymerase II. The record is from Ensembl. NCBI's taxonomy places the organism in Eukaryota, Metazoa, Chordata, Mammalia, Rodentia, Cricetidae.